UGGGGAAUUUUGGACAAUUGGGCGAAAGCCUGAUCCAGCAAUGCCGCGUGUGUGAAGAAGGCCUUCGGGUUGUAAAGCACUUUUGUCCGGAAAGAAAUCCUUGGCUCUAAUACAGUCGGGGGAUGACGGUACCGGAAGAAUAAGCACCGGCUAACUACGUGCCAGCAGCCGCGGUAAUACGUAGGGUGCAAGCGUUAAUCGGAAUUACUGGGCGUAAAGCGUGCGCAGGCGGUUUGCUAAGACCGAUGUGAAAUCCCCGGGCUCAACCUGGGAACUGCAUUGGUGACUGGCAGGCUAGAGUAUGGCAGAGGGGGGUAGAAUUCCACGUGUAGCAGUGAAAUGCGUAGAGAUGUGGAGGAAUACCGAUGGCGAAGGCAGCCCCCUGGGCCAAUACUGACGCUCAUGCACGAAAGCGUGGGGAGCAAACAGGAUUAGAUACCCUGGUAGUCCACGCCCUAAACGAUGUCAACUAGUUGUUGGGGAUUCAUUUCCUUAGUAACGUAGCUAACGCGUGAAGUUGACCGCCUGGGGAGUACGGUCGCAAGAUUAAAACUUAAAGGAAUUGAC
This 567-nucleotide ribosomal RNA is filed under the name uncultured bacterium. Its description in RNAcentral is "partial 16S ribosomal RNA". It matches the Rfam family "Bacterial small subunit ribosomal RNA", at positions 355 to 914 of the family's 1533-position model. The record is from RNAcentral.